Molecule: ribosomal RNA, 253 nt
Filed under: uncultured bacterium
Lineage: Bacteria
Description: partial 16S ribosomal RNA
Rfam family: Bacterial small subunit ribosomal RNA
Source: RNAcentral
UACGUAGGCAGCGAGCGUUGUUCGGAGUUACUGGGCGUAAAGAGUGCGUAGGCGGUUUUCUAAGUUUGGUGUGAAAUCUCCCGGCUUAACUGGGAGGGUGCGCCGAAGACUGGAGGGCUUGAGUAUGGGAGAGGUAAGCGGAAUUCCUGGUGUAGCGGUGAAAUGCGUAGAUAUCAGGAGGAACACCUGCGGUGUAGACGGCUUACUGGACCAUCACUGACGCUGAGGCACGAAAGCGUGGGUAGCAAACAGG